This 316-nucleotide ribosomal RNA is filed under the name uncultured bacterium. Its description in RNAcentral is "bacterial SSU rRNA". It matches the Rfam family "Bacterial small subunit ribosomal RNA", at positions 355 to 662 of the family's 1533-position model. The record is from RNAcentral.
UGGGGAAUUUUGCGCAAUGGGCGAAAGCCUGACGCAGCAACGCCGCGUGGAGGAUGAAGGUCUUUGGAUUGUAAACUCCUGUCAGCAGGGAAAAAGCGAGGGGGCCUAAUACGCUCUCGAGUUGAUUGUACCUGCAGAGGAAGCCCCGGCUAACUCUGUGCCAGCAGCCGCGGUAAUACAGAGGGGGCAAGCGUUAUUCGGAAUUAUUGGGCGUAAAGGGGCGCGUAGGCGGCUUUGCAAGUGACGGGUGAAAGCCCUCGGCUUAACCGAGGAACUGCCUGUCAGACUGUGAGGCUUGAGACCGGGAGAGGUGAGU